GUGCUCACUUUGGCAGCACAUAUACUGAAACUGGAAUGAUAUAGAGAAAAUGAGCAUGACCCCCGUGCAAGGAUGACACGCAAAUUUGUGAAGCGUUCCAUAUUUUU
Molecule: small nuclear RNA, 107 nt
Organism: Erinaceus europaeus (western European hedgehog)
Lineage: Eukaryota; Metazoa; Chordata; Mammalia; Eulipotyphla; Erinaceidae
Source: Ensembl